RNAcentral lists this ribosomal RNA (253 nucleotides) under uncultured bacterium. RNAcentral describes it as "partial 16S ribosomal RNA". It matches the Rfam family "Bacterial small subunit ribosomal RNA", at positions 524 to 776 of the family's 1533-position model. The record is from RNAcentral.
UACGUAGGGUGCAAGCGUUGUCCGGAAUUAUUGGGCGUAAAGGGCUCGUAGGCGGCCAACUAAGUCGGAUGUGAAAUCCCCAGGCUUAACCUGGGAACUGUAUCCGAUACUGGAUGGCUUGAAUUCGGGAGAGGGAUGCAGAAUUCCAGGUGUAGCGGUGAAAUGCGUAGAUAUCUGGAGGAAUACCGGUGGCGAAGGCGGCAUCCUGGACCGAGAUUGACGCUGAUGAGCGAAAGCUAGGGGAGCAAACGGG